Molecule: ribosomal RNA, 482 nt
Filed under: uncultured bacterium
Lineage: Bacteria
Description: partial 16S ribosomal RNA
Rfam family: Bacterial small subunit ribosomal RNA
Source: RNAcentral
GAUGAACGCUAGCGGCAGGCCUAAUACAUGCAAGUCGGACGGGAUUCAGGAGCUUGCUUCUGAUGAGAGUGGCGCACGGGUGCGUAACACGUAUGUAACCUACCUUUAUCAGGGGGAUAGCCUCUCGAAAGAGAGAUUAAGCCCGCAUAAAAUCACAGCACAGCAUUGUGUAAUGAUCAAAUAUUUAUAGGAUAAAGAUGGGCAUGCGGAACAUUAGCUAGAUGGCGGGGUAACGGCCCACCAUGGCGACGAUGUUUAGGGGAUCUGAGAGGAUGGCCCCCCACACUGGUACUGGGACACGGACCAGACUCCUACGGGAGGCAGCAGUAAGGAAUAGUGGUCAAUGGGCGGAAGCCUGAACCAGCCAUGCCGCGUGCAGGAAGACGGCCCUACGGGUUGUAAACUGCUUUUAUACGGGAAUAAACCCAGAUACGUGUAUCUGGCUGAAUGUACUGUAAGAAUAAGGAUCGGCUAACUCCGUG